GUCGUCCUCAAAAACGUCUUCCUGUGGGCUGAUGGAGCCUGCUGAGCGUUUUUUUUUCUGGAGAGCCAGCCGAAUAUUUAACAGAUCGCUGUUUGAAUAAUUCAUGGCUUGAGUGAAACGCACCCUUAAAAAAAGAGGAAAUGACAGAAGACAGAUGGGGAAAAAAUCAAUUCUACACAAAGACCAAUUGGAGGGCUGGACGCAAGGAAGCACACGGAGAAGGAAGUCGUUAUUACUAAAAGAUGCAGAUUAUUAGAAGAUGGAGCAAUAAUUGUUUGUGAUGCAGAAAAUAAUAUUCCUGAGUCAGUUUUCAUGUGCUGUUACUUUGGCCCUUCAGAGGCUUCCACGCUUCAUUCCGUUAUUCCUUAUGUUCCUCUUACAUUAUGAUACUGUAGAUGAACAGCAAUGCAUCACCUUACAUCAGAUCCUCACAUGUUGGUCCAGCAACAUUUCUAAUAAAAAGUAAAUAUUUC
Gasterosteus aculeatus aculeatus (three-spined stickleback) is the source of this 473-nucleotide long non-coding RNA. NCBI's taxonomy places the organism in Eukaryota, Metazoa, Chordata, Actinopteri, Perciformes, Gasterosteidae. The record is from Ensembl.